AGUGAACGCUGGCGGUAGGCCUAACACAUGCAGGUCGAACGGCAGCACAGGAGAGCUUGCUCUCUGGGUGGCGAGUGGCGGACGGGUGAGGAAUACAUCGGAAUCUACUUUUUCGUGGGGGAUAACGUAGGGAAACUUACGCUAAUACCGCAUACGACCUACGGGUGAAAGCAGGGGACCUUCGGGCCUUGCGCGAUUGAAUGAGCCGAUGUCGGAUUAGCUAGUUGGCGGGGUAAAGGCCCACCAAGGCGACGAUCCGUAGCUGGUCUGAGAGGAUGAUCAGCCCCACUGGAACUGAGACACGGUCCAGACUCCUACGGGAGGCAGCAGUGGGGAAUAUUGGACAAUGGGCGCAAGCCUGAUUCAGCCAUACCGCGUGGGUGAAGAAGGCCUUCGGGUUGUAAAGCCCUUUUGUUGGGAAAGAAAUCCAGCUGGCUAAUACCCGGUUGGGAUGACGGUACCCAAAGAAUAAGCACCGGCUAACUUCGUGCCAGCAGCCGCCGUAA
RNAcentral lists this ribosomal RNA (506 nucleotides) under uncultured bacterium. RNAcentral describes it as "partial 16S ribosomal RNA". It matches the Rfam family "Bacterial small subunit ribosomal RNA", at positions 29 to 523 of the family's 1533-position model. The record is from RNAcentral.